CUUUCACUACCUAACUCUUAGUAUUUAUUCACAUUAAGCUUGGGCUAAAUAAGUGGCUGUUAAUAUUGGGCUUCCCGCUUUGGCCCAAUUCCCUGUCUGUCUCACGUGGCCCAGUCCACUCUUUUAUUAAUCUCUACUCUUACCUACCAUCGAUCACUUUCCCAUUUCAACCUACUUUGCCAAUUCAUAACAUCCCCCAUCCCUUAGAGAAUAUCAUUGUCCUCAAGGUCGAUGUUGAGCCACAAAAUUAGGAAAGUGAUGCUUGAUAUACCCCCAAUCUUUCCAUGUAGCAUCCUCCUCCCUAAGAUUUGCCCACUGAACCAACACUUUAACUCCCACGCCAUUAUCAAUCUUCACCAUUUUUUAUUGUAAUAUGGCCACUGGUUGAAUCAACACCCGACCGUUAGUAUCACACGAUGGUGGCUGAAGCUGAGGCUCGAUAGUUGGACCGAUUCUCUUAUUGAGUUGAGAGACGUGGAAGACUGGAUAAAUUUGAGAGCUUUCAGGAAGCUCUAAGAGGUAUUCUAAUGUUCCCACUUUCUUCAAUAUCUUAUAAGGACCAUAAUAACGAGAACACAACUUAACAUUUAUGCAAACCUCGAUCGAUGAUUGUCUAUACGGAUGUAGCUUAAGAUAGACUUUGUCCCCAACCACUAGGGUUCUUUCCGACCUAGAUCUGUCCACAAAGAAUUUCAUGUGUGACUGUGCUCGAGUUAGGUUGCCCUUAAGUGUCUGCAUCAUGUAUUGUCUUUGGGCUAGACUCACACUUGCCAUAGUCUGCCCAGAACUUGGUAAUGAUCCCAUUGGUAGCUAGGGUGGUGCAUACCCAUAUAAUGCUUCAAAAGGUGUGACCUUUAGAGCAAUGUGGUAGUUGGUGUUGUACCACACUCUUCCAUGUGAAGCCACUUAAUCCAUUGCUUAGGAUUAUCAAAAACCAUGGCCGUAAGUUUCCAUACACCCGUUGAGCCUCUCUGUUUGGCCAUCACUCUGAGGGUGAUAAGCUAAACACAAAUUGAGUUUGGUGUCAUGGAUCUGAAAAGGUACUGCCAAAAGUGACUAGUGAAAACUGGAUCCCUGUCAGACACUAAGGACCUAGGAAUACCAUGCACUCUAUAAAUUUCCUUGAGAAAUAAUUCUGCUACAUCCUGCGCUGUAAAGAGAUGUUUAAGAGGCAGAAAGUGACCAUACUUAGUGAAUCUAUCAACCACCACCAAAACUGCAUUCUUCUGAUUUGAAGUAGGUAAUCCUUCUACAAAAUCCAUAUAAAUGUCGUGCCAUGCUUGCUCAGGAAUAGGAAGAGGCUGUAGUAAUCCAGGAUAGUGAACAUUCUCUGAUUUCACCCUUUGACAUAUAUGACACUCACUGACCCAUUUACAACUGUCUGACUUCAUAUUUUGCCAAUAAAAAUUCAUCUGUAACCUCUUAUAAGUACCUUGUUGCCCUGAGUGACCUCCCAAUGGUGAUUGAUGCAAUGCUUCCCACUCUUCUUCUCAAUGUGUUACCCUUUCCUAUAUAUAUCUUUUGUUUGUACUUGAUUAUUCCCCAGUGUAGUGUGUAGUCAGAAUUACCAUGAGAUGUUCUUAUUAACUCAGCCAAUAGGUGAGUAGCCAAAGGAUCAUCUUCAUAGGAUUGGCUAACUUCUUCUAGCCAAGCAGGAUGUGUAGUGGAAAUAACCAAUAAGGUAGAAUUAGCAGUUUCUUCUUAUCUCCUGGAUAGAGCAUCAACUGCUAUAUUUUCAGAACCCUUUUUGUACUGAAUUUUAUGGUCAAGUCCCAAGAGCUUAGUGAGACCCUUCUGUUAUAGUACUGUGGUGACUUUAUGCUCUAGUAGGUAUUUUAGGCUUUCGGGAUCUGUUCUCACAAUGAAAUGAACACAUUAUAAGUAGUGUCUCUAUUUAUCCACUGCUGUUAAGACUGUCAUGUAAUUUUUUUCAUUGGUGGAUAGUCCCUUAUUCUUUGUGGACAAAGCCUUACUUAGAUAAUCUAUAGGUCUGCCCUCUUGCAUUAAAACAACUCCCAUUUCUGUAGAGCAUGUAUCAAUCUCUACAAUAAAAGGUUUGGUGAAGUCUUGCAAGGCUAAUACAGGUGCCGUGGACAUGGCUUCCUUCAGCUUCUGAAAGGACUCCUCUGCCUCCUCAUUCCAUUGGAAGGAACUUUUCUUAAGUAGGUUGAUCAGUGGUCUACUGAUGCCAUUGGACUUCACAAAUAUUCUAUAGUAGCAUGUAAGGCCCAGAAACCCCUUGAAUGACUUGGGGGCAGACCAAUUUAUCAUAGAGUCUAUCUUGGCAGGAUCAAUUGCUACUCCCUGACAAGAAAUAAUAUGGCUCAAAUACUCCACUUUAUCUUGUCCAAAGGCACACUUGGACAAUUUAGCAUAGAGUUUCUCCUUCUGUAAGACUUGUAGGACUUGUCUGAGGUGAUCUACAUGACUGCUCACUGUUGGACUGUAGACUAGUAUGUCAUCAAAGAAUACUAGGAUAAAUUUUCUUAGAAAAGGUCUGAAAACAUGGUUCAUCAGGCUCUGAAAGGUUGCACGAGCAUUUGUCAAGCCAAAUGGCAUGACUCUAAACUCAUAAUGGCCCAAAUGUAUCCUAAAUGUAGUUUUAUAAAUGACAAAACUCUCCAUUCUAAUUUGAUGAUACCUAGACCUUCGAUCAAUCUUGGAAUAUAUGUAGGAUCCAUUAAGUUCAUCCAUAAAAUUAUCUACUAAAGGAAUAGGAAAUUUAUCCUUUAUAGUCAUCUUAUUUAGCUCCCUAUAAUUAAUACAGAACCUCCAACUCCCAUCCUUCUUUUUAACUAGCAAUACAGGUGAGGAAAAAUGAAAAUGACUCGGCUGAAUAAUUUCACUACUUAACAUUUCAUUGUCUUGCUUUUCUAUUUUAUUUUUCUUGAAGUAAUUGUACCUAUUAGGUCUGAUACUCACUGUUGUUGCAUCAGGUUUAAGGGGGAUAAAAUGAUCAUGGCUUUUUUGUGGUGGCAAGGACUUUGGCUCUUCAAACACAUCUGAAAACUCCUCAAGUACUUCACUUAUUCUUUUAGGUAUGGCCACUUGUAUUUCAGUAACCUUAGUAGUAGUUGUAAAUAAAUGAGCCCGCCCGCAACACCUUCCCUUUUCUAAGAAGGUGCUUCACUCCACCAGCUGUCAUGCUAUGGAGCUUACCUUCCUCAGAAUAUCCCUUAAGGUCCACCCUUUUUACCUUCACAAUCACUUGUAGCCUGUAUUCAAUGAAAUCAAAUAGAAUGGGAUUAUGCUUCCUCAUCCAAUCCACUCCUAAGACCACAUCACACCCAUCAAUAUCCGGUAAUCUUAGCUUAUGUUCAAAGUAUAUCCAUUGAGUUUUCCAACUGAAUUGAGGACAAGAUUGGUAACUCAUUAGAUAGCCCUUAUUUAGCCACAACUACUCUCAUAGGUGUAUCAUCUUUAACUAUGCAUCCUAGGUAUUUUACAGUCUCACUAGCUAUAAAACUUUUGGUAUUUCCACUGUCUGCUAAGAUAUUUGGCAUCUUCUUCCCAUACACCCCUCUAAGCUUUAUGGUAGUAGAAGUUAUUGUGCCAGAAAGUGCAUUGGGACUGACGGCCUCAUCCAGUAUCUCCUUGAUGGUAGGCUAUAAUUCCAUAUUUUAUUCGCUUAUUCCACUCUACUUUACUGCACUUUACUUAUGUUGAGCUUUAAUUAUGCGUGUUUUGCACUUAUUAUGUGUUUUAUGCACUAUAGGAGUGAUUCCGAGCUAUGUAGAUGUUAUGGCAUGGAUUCAUGCUAUUUUGGAGUUUUGAAUUUGAGUAAUAACCCAAGGGUUAAGUUGGGAUCGUGUUCGGGGAUCAACGGAUGAUAGUGGAACGAAACGAAGAAUCGAGCAGGUAUAUUGCGCAGUGUCCAGUAAAAUACACAUAACGUUUUUCUCGGAACUCCAUUUGGGCUCCACAAUAUAUCGUUGGAAAUCUAUUUAAAAGGGCUACAAUCUUAAUGUUUUACACUUUACCAACGUAUAUUGCGUGAUCGUGCACUGGGUGCGCACUUAGGGCAGAAUGGUGUGCAAAGUGCCCGACCAGGUGCGCGGUCGCACAUGUCCUGUCUGGGAAAAGCCCUAUUUCGCUAAGAAAGGGUAGUUUUGUCCGGGAUUUAUUUUGGGGGCAGAUUAAAUACCCCAAAAUACCAUUUUGAGGGAGUUUUGGACAUACCUUAGACCUAGGGAAGCUUAGUAGAAGAAGGAGAAGCAAGAGCACAAGGAUUUCAUCCUUCCUUCCUCACUCAAAUCCGGGUUUGGAUUGUAUUUAUGUUUUCCUCUAUUUUUGUUUUAUUUGUGAAGAACUUCUCCAUGUCUAUGGAGCAGAACCAUUUGGGUUUUGAUGGAUUUUGUGUAUUGAUGGUUGUUUGUGGAUUAUAACUCUAUGUUUAUGUAUUUGAAUUAUUUUUGGAAGAUUUAAUUGUUGCAUCUAUGUUCAUUUGUUCUUGUAAUCGAAAGAGGCAUAACUUGUGAUAUAUUUGCACUAUGUUGUUGGUUGAGUUCAUAUAUUCUUCUAAGUAAUCGAAAAAAGCUAGUUAAAUCCUUGAAUAAACCUAGUUAGGAGGAUAAUCGAAAGAGGUUCUCCUAAAGACCAAUCCAUUACGAAUUCUUGCAUAUCUUCACCGAGCUUAAAUUGGUUCAUAUUGUGAGGUUGAAACUUAAUCGAGAGAGGAGUUUCUACUAAAUAUUUGUACUGAUAAUUAAGUGAAUUUGAGAGACUCACUUGAACAUUAGAAGUGAAUUAUCUAGAGUUAGAUCCCGAAUAAUUAUCUUGCACUUAUCCUAUCAACCUUUAUUUUCUCUCAUUGAUAACUUCCUUUCUUACCUUUGUUGAGAUUGUCAUUAGUCAAUAGUUUAGGUUCUUAUUUAGUUUCAAUUCUUAAUUGUAUAAAUCUUCAUUGUUGAUCCUCCUGGAUAGCAAUCUAUCUACAAACUAAGAUAUUACUGUUUAAAUCCAAUCCAUGUGGAGACAAUAAUUAUACUAUACUAUCUUUGACUAACGAGCAUAAUUUAAGUGUGUGCUUUGCGCUCGUCAAAUUUUAGCGUCGUUGUCGGGGAUUGGUAAUUAAUAGUGUUGGAAAUAGUUUGUAGUGCUAAUUCAGGAAUUUAUUUUUAUCUUUACUUUAUUUUUUUAGUUUUGUUAUGUUAACUUCUCUUCAAGAUUUCUUUUGUAGAAGAAAUCUUGAAAAACAUAUUCUUGUUACUGAACUCUAAAUGUUGUAAAGAUGGAGUACGACCAGCCUAAAAAACGGUUGAAGAGUUAGCAGCUGAACACUGUCGUCAGUCUGCUAUGUGUUUUAAAUGCGGUGGGAAUCAUCUAUGGGUUGAUUGUCAAGCAGGUAGGUAUUCUUCCUAUGGUUCAUCUUUUGAACACUCUCACUUCGUCUCUAGUCCGUACAUGUAUGAGGAUUCAUAUGGGUAAAUUCUAACUCUGGUUGGGAUGAAAACCCUUAUUUUGACUUGAAUACAAGCGAAGCGAGACACCCACCUCAAGAGGAGAAUGUUAGUUUAGAAGAGCUUAUGUAUAAGUUCAUUAAUAAGGUGGAUGAGAGGUUAAAGGAAGAGAAGUUCACACAUGAUGUUGAAGCCUCUAACAACCUGACAAUGCAAGUGGAUCAACUAAUAAGUAUACUUUUAGAAAGGUCAUUACAUUGUAAUGGUGAAUACAUGGAGGAGAUACCUUGUGAGAAUGAGCCUACCAUAAAUGAUGAACAUCUACAAAGAGAGUUGUCCACUCUGCAAGAGGACUCUGUUUCAACUGAAAUGAUUGAAAAUGAGGCUUUGGUUGAUUAUGAAGCAAUACAAGAAGAGUUCAAUCCUCUAUCCACAAUUGCAAUUUUUAGUAGAAGAUAAUGAGGAACAAAUGGUGUUGGAAUUUCCAGAGAAGUACUCACAUGACCUUUCCUCUUCAUUUUCUUACUCUAACCUUGAUCACGUGGAUUUUGUUUUGGGUGAUUUAUGGGAAUAAGCAGGGAUUGAUUUUGUAAAUGAAUGCAGAAUCAAGUUAAGGAUAAUCCUACAAGAAUAAUCCUUCGCUCAAAAUGAGGCCAAGAAAGAAAGAAAAGAGCGGGUCUUUCAAAAAUCCCUAAAGGACUUUGGCCUGAUGAGCUCCAUAAAGAAUCCCGAGGAGCGAAAUCAAAAAAUGUAUUGUGAAUUAGGGGUGGAGUUCACAAGUUCUCGGAAACGGAAAAAGUCCAGAGAAGUUUCCUUUACCUCUUGUUUUUUAUUUGUAUGUCAUGGGGAUAUUCCACAAUUUAAAGUGUGGGGGUGGGAUGUAAAUAUGUAAAUAACUGUUUGUUUGUGUUUCUUGUGUGUGUUUUCAGUUCUUUUGAUUGAAAUUUUUAAAGUCGAAAAAAAUAUAUAUAUUAUUUUCUUUGUGUCGCAGUUCUUUUUUAAGGGUUUUGUUUGAACCAGGUGUAGUUAGUUUUAUUUUCUUUUCUUUUAGGAGUAGGAGAUCUUGUGCUGUGAUUUUAAAUGCAAGCAAUAUCUCUUGACUGCAUUAUUCCUUAAGAAUAGUAAUUACUUUAGUUGUGACGCUUAAGCUCAGUUUUUGACUCUUGUAUAAGCACCUUAAAUUGUAUGAUCUUAACUUUGCUUAACAACUUUGAUUAGAGUGUCUUGAUGAGUCCGAUAUUGAGUGAGUCUUGUGCCAUGUGUGUGAUAUUUUGCGUAUUCUGUGCAUUACAUUUGAUGUCUAGAACUUGCCCCGUAUGUUUGCAAAGCGAAAUAGUAGUUUCAUUCAGUCUCGGAAGUGAUAUAGACAUUUUUUCGUUGAGCCAGUUAUAUGUUGUACCCACCUAAUUGUUAUGUAUCUUAGUUAACCCCGUUGAUCCUGGAAUCAUGUUUCUUUGGCAACCACACUGCAAGCCUUACCCAUUUGUUUGAAUUGACCAUCUAAUCGAAUCAUUUACCUCUCGCGAGCACUUGAAAUUGUAUGAACUUUGUAAAAGUUGAAGUGUGGGGUGGUUGGUUUGGUUUUUGAGUGGAAUUAUUGAACUAAGGAGAAAUGUGCACUAUUUUGAAAAAGAAAAAGCCACUUGAAUUGAAAAAGAAAGAAACAAAAUAAGUGUAUGAUUGAGAAAAAAAAUCAUUGAUAGUGAUAACUCUUAAUGUAUUUGUGCUUAAAGAAGUGGGGAGUUGACAUAUAUUGAUGUAAAUGUGGAGUUAUGGUUUGACAUAGUAUGGGGUUUUGAAUGGUUAAUUGUAUGUAUUAAAGUACGUAGGGAGGUGUAGUUAAUAUAUUCAAACAUAUCCUACCCGUUCCGCAGCCUACAUUACAACCAAAUAAAGCCUUACUUGAUCCUUGACUGAAUGAUCUCAAUUAGUAGAGUAGUACAUUACGGGCAAGAUUAUGGUACAUCUUUUGUGGAAUAUGAAUGUUGUUUCUGAGAGUGAGCUAAUUAUUCCUAUCUUAAGUUCCUAAUUGUUCUUAAACUUUAUCGUUUGUGGAACUACUCUCUAUUCUUGUGUGAGAGAACUUGAUUCAUGAAGGAAGGGUAAUGUCAUUGAGCUUUGUGUUAGAGUGAGCAAGUUGUGAAAAAUGCGUGGUGCUCUUGAGUCAAAUCUUGAGGCGAGGAUGUUACGGUAUUGUGCAUAAUUUGUUUUAUUAUUCUUGGUGUGAUGAGUUAGGAGAGUUGUUUAAAAAUAUCAUGUCUAUGUGAAGUGUAGUUUUAUUGCUCGAGGACUAGCAACGGUUUAUAUGUGGGGUGUUGAUGGCAGGCUAUAAUCCCGUAUUUUAGUCACUUAUUGCACUCUAAUUUACUGCACUUUACUUAUGUUGAGCUUUAAUUAUGCAUUUUUUGCACUUAUUAUAUGUUUUAUGUACUAUAGGAGUGAUUUCGAGCUAUGUAGAUGUUGUGGUAUGAAUUCAUGCUAUUUGGAUCUUUGAAAUUUAAGUAAAAGCCCAAGGGUUAAGUUGGGAUCGUGUUCGGGGAUCAACAGAUGAUAGUGGAAUGAAAUGAAGAAUCGAGCAGGUAUAUUGUGCAGUGUCCAGUAAAAUGCACAUAACAUUUCGCUCGGAACUCUAUUUAGGCUCUAACAUAUAUCGUUGGAAAUUUAUUUAAAAGGGCUUCAACUUUUAUGUUUUACACUUUCCCAAAUUCCUAACGUAUACAACCCAGGUGCACAACCAAGUGCACGAUCGCGUACUGGGCGCGCACUUGGGGCGGAAUCGUGUGCAAAGUGCGUGACCAGGUGCGCGGUCGCGCAUGUCCUGUCCGAGAAAAGCCCUAUUUUUCUAAGAGAGGGUAGUUUCGUCCGGAUUUUUUUUGGGGGCGGAUUAAAUACCCCAAAACACCAUUUUUGAGGGGCUAUUGGACAUACCUUAGACCUAGGGAAGCUUAGGAGAAGAAGGAGAAGCAAGAGAACGAAGAUUUCAUCCUUCCUUCCUCACUCAAAUCCGAGUUUGGAUUGUAUUUAUAUUUUUCUCUAUUUUUGUUUCAUUUGUGAAGAACUCCUCUAUAUCUAUGGAGUAGAGCCAUUUGGGUUUUGAUGGAUUUGGUGUAUUGAUGGUCGUUUGUGGAUUAUAACUCUAUGUUUAUGUAUUUGAAUCAUUUUUGAAAGAUUUAAUUGUUGCAUCUAUAUUCACUUGUUCUUGUAAUCGAAAGAGGCAUAACUUGUGAUAUAUUUACACUAUNNNNNNNNNNNNNNNNNNNNNNNNNNNNNNNNNNNNNNNNNNNNNNNNNNNNNNNNNNNNNNNNNNNNNNNNNNNNNNNNNNNNNNNNNNNNNNNNNNNNNNNNNNNNNNNNNNNNNNNNNNNNNNNNNNNNNNNNNNNNNNNNNNNNNNNNNNNNNNNNNNNNNNNNNNNNNNNNNNNNNNNNNNNNNNNNNNNNNNNNNNNNNNNNNNNNNNNNNNNNNNNNNNNNNNNNNNNNNNNNNNNNNNNGAAUUCUUACAUAUCUUCAUCGAGCUUAAAUUGGUUUAUAUUUUGAGGUUGAAACUUAAUCGAGAGAGUAGUUUCUACUAAACAUUUGUACUGAUAAUUAAGUGAAUUCGAGAGACUCACUUGAACAUUAAAAGUGAAUUAUCUAGAGUUAGAUCCCGAACAAUUAUCUUGCACUUAUCCUAUCAACCCAUAUUUUCUCCCAUUGAUAACUUCCUUGCUUACCUUUGUUGAGAUUGUCAUUAGUCAAUACUUUAGGUUCUUAUUUAGUUUCAAUUCUUAAUUAUAUAAAUCUUCAUUGUUGAUCCUCCUGGAUAGCAAUCUAGCUACAAACUAAGAUAAUACUAUUUAAAUCCAAUCCCUGUGGAUACGAUAAUUAUACUAUAUUAUCUUUGACUAGCGAGCUUAAUUUAAGUAUGUGCUUUGCGCUCGUCACUCCUCUACCAUUCCAAUAGGCAUAGCCUCUCCUUCUGCAUUCAACUCUAUUAUUUCUUCCUCCUGUUCAAUACUUCCAGACAGUGUGUUUAGUUAUCUAUUCUUGCACACAUGACCUGGAAAGUAUUUUCCCCCACAUUUUAACAUUCACCCAUUGCCUUCCUAGCUGCAAACAAUUUAGUCUCUGACAUAGUUGUAUUAGUACCUUCUUUUUGUAAGUUUCCCAAGGAUUUGUUCCCUGAUGGUAGAUUAGACCCUUUGUACUGCCCUACACUCCUGACUCCAUUGAAUCUACUCUUCUUGGCCAUGGUAUCAAUCAAGUUCUCCUCGUGCCUAGCCUUCUCCACAGCAUGGCUUAAGGAAUAAGGGUCAAACAUAUUCACAGUGCGUCUAAUUUCCUCUUUUAAGCCUUCAAUGAAAAAACCUAGGAAAAAUUUCUCAGGUAUAGUUGGGUAUUUUAUCAACACCCAGGCCUUCAAAUCUUCAAACUUCUUAAGAUAUUCAUUGGCAGUCCCCUUUUGUUUCACCUUUUUGAAUUCCCCCAACAACUCCAGGUUACUAUUAUCAGAUUCAUUGAAUCUUUUGCAGAUUUCUUCAAUAAAAUCUGACCACCUCAAAAUUCCUCUACUCAAUUGAUAGAAAAAGUACCAAGACUCAGCCCUCCCAUUUAAAUGAAGCACAACUGAUUCUGAUUUGUGUUGUGGGUCUGUAAUAUGAUUGUAAUAGAAAUACCUUUCAUAUUUGUGUAGCCAUGAUCGAGGAUCUCCUUCCUCAAAAGUAAGGGAACUCCACUCUAUAAGUAAAGUUGCUCGCUAAAUUUCUCCCAGUGUGCUGCCCAUGUGGGUCUGCCAUUCUCUGCUUCCAAAACCUUCCAAGUGAAGACUUUCAGUUGGUGCGCUCCCUAGAAUGCCAUCCAUGUAGGCGGAGAUCUUCUCCAUCAUCACAUCAAAUUUUUGAUUCAGAUCAUCCAUUUUCGAGUCAUCAGACUCCAAUUUUUUGUUUGUUUCAGUCAUGUAGUUCUGUAACUGAUUUUUCAAUUUCUUGACAUUUUCUAUAGUGGUUUUAGCUCGAGUUUCUGUAAUCAUUAUGGCGCCAGGAGAAUGCUCUGGUACCAAAUUGUUAUGGCUUGAAUCAAUUAAGCAAUUAAUCAAACAAUUAGGAGAAUCAAAAAUGAAAACUGGAACUCUUUAUUCAAUAUCAAUGGAAAGUAUUCACCAUUAUUACUUGUAGUCACUAAAAAUGAAGAAUGAGAAUUAGGAGAAUUGGAGAAGAAGAAGAAGAAUCUAGAAGAAGAGAGAAGAGAGAAAGUGGUUAGAAACGUAACAAUAUUAACAAAAUAAUUGCCUCCCUUUCACUACCUAACUCUUAGUAUUUAUUCACAUUAAGCUUGGGCUGAAUAAGUGGCUUAAUAUUAGGCUUCCCGCUUUGGCCCAAUUCCCUGUCCGUCCCACGUGGUCCAGUCCACUCUUUUAUUAAUCUCUACUCUUACUUACCACCGAUCACUUUUCUAUUUCAACCUACUUUUCC
Molecule: long non-coding RNA, 10846 nt
Filed under: Nicotiana tabacum (common tobacco)
Lineage: Eukaryota; Viridiplantae; Streptophyta; Magnoliopsida; Solanales; Solanaceae
Description: long non-coding RNA (NTAB_LNC015477)
Source: RNAcentral